GAUGAACGCUGGCGGCGUGCCUAAUACAUGCAAGUCGAGCGAACAGACGAGGAGCUUGCUCCUCUGACGUUAGUGGCGGACGGGUGAGUAACACGUGGAUAACCUACCUAUAAGACUGGGAUAACUUCGGGAAACCGGAGCUAAUACCGGAUAAUAUAUUGAACCGCAUGGUUCAAUAGUGAAAGACGGUUUUGCUGUCACUUAUAGAUGGAUCCGCGCCGCAUUAGCUAGUUGGUAAGGUAACGGCUUACCAAGGCAACGAUGCGUAGCCGACCUGAGAGGGUGAUCGGCCACACUGGAACUGAGACACGGUCCAGACUCCUACGGGAGGCAGCAGUAGGGAAUCUUCCGCAAUGGGCGAAAGCCUGACGGAGCAACGCCGCGUGAGUGAUGAAGGUCUUCGGAUCGUAAAACUCUGUUAUUAGGGAAGGACAAAUGUGUAAGUAACUAUGCACGUCUUGACGGUACCUAAUCAGAAAGCCACGGCUAACUACGUG
RNAcentral lists this ribosomal RNA (497 nucleotides) under uncultured bacterium. Its description in RNAcentral is "partial 16S ribosomal RNA". It matches the Rfam family "Bacterial small subunit ribosomal RNA", at positions 28 to 507 of the family's 1533-position model. The record is from RNAcentral.